CUCGCAGGUAGGAAGCAAAACAAUUAUGCUGCAAAUGCUACAGGAUCUCUGAAGAAAUAUGGCAAGCUUUCUUUGCUAAUCCACUAGAAUGGUGGCACAAUAGGAAAAACAAGGCAGUCUCUUUACUUCAUGCUUUAAAAGGAUAUAGACAUUUGUUGUUUAUUGCAACUCUUUAUGUCGGUAUUUCCUACUCAAAACCUUCCAUACAACUUGAAUAGCACUGUGCCUAUUCAGAUGAGCAUUAGCAUGAUGUAUCACACUUUUUCGAUUCUGUGUUUUGGAUUCUUACGCACAGGAAAGUCCAAUUACUGGAUGUAAAGGAUAAAUUAUGCAGUCAGCCCGGGUAGAAAUUGAUGUAGGACAAUCCGACAAUGCCACUUAUGAUAAAUGAACUUAAUUUUUCUAUGUUGCUAGUUUAUUAGGAGUCCCUUAUCUUUAGUUUUCUUACCUUUUUUUAUUACUAUUAUUAGGAUUGUAGUAGUAGUACCACUAUUUUGGUUAUUAUAAGUUUUUCCCAUUUUGGCAGUUAUCACGAUGUUAGUAAGAUAGGAUUCCUCUAUGGUUAAUGCCUAUAUUAGCAGUUUCACAAGAUUUCUCUAGCUAAAUGCAACAUCGAAAACAAUUAUGCAAGGUGAUCAUACACAAUGGGAGUAGUGAGAAUAAGGUAUCUAAGUCAUGAGUAAAAGCUUUAACUUGAAGAUGAAAAUACCCCUCAGUAAAUGAUCUCGUGGGCUAAAUAGGGAUUGCAUGUCCAGAUAAUGUAGGUAGGUUAAAUCUCACUUUCUAUUGGAAAGUACUAUAAAAAUAAGAUCGUGCGACAUCUGUAGAAAUGGAUGCUUGCCAUGUACUUUUGGGACAACUUUAGCACUAAGAUGUAUGCAUCACUUGCAAUAACGGACUCAACACUUAAAUAUUUUGGUGGUAUUACGAAGAAGAUUGUUCUGACACCUCUUAAAAAAUGAAUGGAGGUUAUCGAUGCUCAUCAAGUACAUCAAGAGGUGCUAAUCUGAAAUAUAAAGGUAAAGCUGACAAAUACCGUCUUAAAAAGGUCUUUAACAUGCGUGAUCUCGUGAUGAUUCAUUUGAGGAAAUGUCAUUUCGAAGCAUGCAAUUACAACAAAGACAAAAGAUAGGGAGAUUAGGUCCUCAUUUGAACUCCAUUAUAAUU
RNAcentral lists this long non-coding RNA (1167 nucleotides) under Olea europaea subsp. europaea. Lineage: Eukaryota; Viridiplantae; Streptophyta; Magnoliopsida; Lamiales; Oleaceae. The record is from RNAcentral.